AUUCCGGUUGAUCCUGCCGGAGGCCAUUGCUAUCGGAGUCCGAUUUAGCCAUGCUAGUCGCACGGGUUCAGACCCGUGGCGGAUAGCUCAGUAACACGUGGCCAAACUACCCUGUGGACGACAAUAACCUCGGGAAACUGAGGCUAAUCUCGAUAAUGCUUCCAGCCUGGAACUGGCGGAUGGACGAAAUGCUCCGGCGCCAUAGGAUGUGGCUGCGGCCGAUUAGGUAGACGGUGGGGUAACGGCCCACCGUGCCGAUAAUCGGUACGGGUCAUGAGAGUGAGAGCCCGGAGACGGACUCUGAGACACGAGUCCGGGCCCUACGGGGCGCAGCAGGCGCGAAACCUUUACACUGCACGACAGUGCGAUAGGGGGACACCGAGUGCGAGGGCAUAGAGCCCUCGCUUUUGUAGACCGUAAGGAGGUCUACGAAUAAGGGCUGGGCAAGACCGGUGCCAGCCGCCGCGGUAAUACCGGCAGCCCAAGUGAUGGCCGCUGUUAUUGGGCCUAAAGCGUCCGUAGCU
Molecule: ribosomal RNA, 524 nt
Filed under: uncultured haloarchaeon
Lineage: Archaea; Methanobacteriati; Methanobacteriota; Halobacteria; Halobacteriales; Halobacteriaceae
Description: bacterial SSU rRNA
Rfam family: Archaeal small subunit ribosomal RNA
Source: RNAcentral